UCCGGUUCACUUUAACACUGAGGCGUGACGACGAGGCACUACGGUGCUGAAGCAACAAAUGCCCUGCUUCCAGGAAAAGCCUCUAAGCAUCAGGUAACAUCAAAUCGUACCCCAAACCGACACAGGUGGUCAGGUAGAGAAUACCAAGGCGCUUGAGAGAACUCGGGUGAAGGAACUAGGCAAAAUGGUGCCGUAACUUCGGGAGAAGGCACGCUGACACGUAGGUGAAGUGAUUUACUCAUGGAGCUGAAGUCAGUCGAAGAUACCAGCUGGCUGCAACUGUUUAUUAAAAACACAGCACUGUGCAAACACGAAAGUGGACGUAUACGGUGUGACGCCUGCCCGGUGCCGGAAGGUUAAUUGAUGGGGUCAGCGCAAGCGAAGCUCCUGAUCGAAGCCCCGGUAAACGGCGGCCGUAACUAUAACGGUCCUAAGGUAGCGAAAUUCCUUGUCGGGUAAGUUCCGACCUGCACGAAUGGCGUAAUGAUGGCCAGGCUGUCUCCACCCGAGACUCAGUGAAAUUGAACUCGCUGUGAAGAUGCAGUGUACCCGCGGCAAGACGGAAAGACCCCGUGAACCUUUACUAUAGCUUGACACUGAACAUUGAGCCUUGAUGUGUAGGAUAGGUGGGAGGCUUUGAAGUGUGGACGCCAGUCUGCAUGGAGCCGACCUUGAAAUACCACCCUUUAAUGUUUGAUGUUCUAACGUGGACCCGUUACCCGGGUUGCGGACAGUGUCUGGUGGGUAGUUUGACUGGGGCGGUCUCCUCCUAAAGAGUAACGGAGGAGCACGAAGGUUGGCUAAUCCUGGUCGGACAUCAGGAGGUUAGUGCAAUGGCAUAAGCCAGCUUGACUGCGAGCGUGACGGCGCGAGCAGGUGCGAAAGCAGGUCAUAGUGAUCCGGUGGUUCUGAAUGGAAGGGCCAUCGCUCAACGGAUAAAAGGUACUCCGGGGAUAACAGGCUGAUACCGCCCAAGAGUUCAUAUCGACGGCGGUGUUUGGCACCUCGAUGUCGGCUCAUCACAUCCUGGGGCUGAAGUAGGUCCCAAGGGUAUGGCUGUUCGCCAUUUAAAGUGGUACGCGAGCUGGGUUUAGAACGUCGUGAGACAGUUCGGUCCCUAUCUGCCGUGGGCGCUGGAGAACUGAGGGGGGCUGCUCCUAGUACGAGAGGACCGGAGUGGACGCAUCACUGGUGUUCGGGUUGUCAUGCCAAUGGCACUGCCCGGUAGCUAAAUGCGGAAGAGAUAAGUGCUGAAAGCAUCUAAGCACGAAACUUGCCCCGAGAUGAGUUCUCCCUGAGACUUUAGGUCUCCUGAAGGAACGUUGAAGACGACGACGUUGAUAGGCCGGGUGUGUAAGCGCAGCGAUGCGUUGAGCUAACCGGUACUAAUGAACCGUGAGGCUUAACCUU
RNAcentral lists this ribosomal RNA (1410 nucleotides) under Salmonella enterica. Its description in RNAcentral is "partial 23S ribosomal RNA". It matches the Rfam family "Bacterial large subunit ribosomal RNA", at positions 1541 to 2925 of the family's 2925-position model. The record is from RNAcentral. Lineage: Bacteria; Pseudomonadati; Pseudomonadota; Gammaproteobacteria; Enterobacterales; Enterobacteriaceae.